Molecule: transfer RNA, 63 nt
Filed under: Cavia porcellus (domestic guinea pig)
Lineage: Eukaryota; Metazoa; Chordata; Mammalia; Rodentia; Caviidae
Rfam family: tRNA
About the family: Transfer RNA (tRNA) molecules are approximately 80 nucleotides in length.
Source: Rfam by way of RNAcentral
GGGGAUAUAGCUCAACGGUAUAGCACUUGCUUGGCAAGCAGGAGGUCAUGAAUUUGAUCCCCA